This 250-nucleotide ribosomal RNA is filed under the name uncultured bacterium. RNAcentral's name for it is "partial 16S ribosomal RNA". It matches the Rfam family "Bacterial small subunit ribosomal RNA", at positions 810 to 1058 of the family's 1533-position model. The record is from RNAcentral.
UGGAUGCUAGCCGUCGGAUAGCUUGCUAUUCGGUGGCGCAGCUAACGCAUUAAGCAUCCCGCCUGGGGAGUACGGCCGCAAGGUUAAAACUCAAAGGAAUUGACGGGGGCCCGCACAAGCGGUGGAGCAUGUGGUUUAAUUCGACGCAACGCGAAGAACCUUACCAGCUCUUGACAUUCACUGAUCGCCUGGAGAGAUCCGGGAAUUCCAGCAAUGGACAGUGGGACAGGUGCUGCAUGGCUGUCGUCAG